AGAGAAUCGAUGAGAAUACUUUUCCUAGUCUAGAAGAUACCAGAUAUCUGAACGUGAUUCUCUUCCGUUUUUAAGCUUCUCUGUUCUAUAGGUGAACUGAUAGUCCAGUGUUAAACACUCAGUGCCAGUCUGACUUUCUCCCUUUCUCCUCAGGGGUCUGAAUGGUGACAGAAACAUGCCGGUGGUCCGGGGACUGGGCUCAGCUGACCCAGAAGAGGUGAAGAGGCUGAAGGACACCAGCUUCUUCAUCUGUAAUCGAUAGCUGCUUCUAUGAUUAGGGUUUUCCCAGCAUGACAACGACCCGAAACACACAGCCAGGGCAACUAAGGAGUGGCUCCGUAAGAAGCAUCUCAAGGUCCUGGAGUGGCCUAGCCAGUUUCCAGACCUGAACCCAAUAGAAAAUCUUUGAAGGGAGCUGAAAGUCCAUAUUACCCAGCGACAGCCCCGAAACCUGAAAGAUCUGGAGAAGGUCUAUAUGGAGGAUUGGGACAAAAUGCCUGCUGCAGUGUGUGCAAACCUGGUCAAGAACUACAGGAAACGUAUGAUCUCUGUAAUUGCAAACAAAAGUUUCUGUACCAAAUAUUAAGUUCUGCU
Oncorhynchus tshawytscha (Chinook salmon) is the source of this 594-nucleotide long non-coding RNA. Lineage: Eukaryota; Metazoa; Chordata; Actinopteri; Salmoniformes; Salmonidae. The record is from Ensembl.